Molecule: long non-coding RNA, 6415 nt
Organism: Gadus macrocephalus (Pacific cod)
Lineage: Eukaryota; Metazoa; Chordata; Actinopteri; Gadiformes; Gadidae
Exons: 13
Source: RefSeq, a predicted model, not a curated record
CUAGUCUAGAUAGUCCUUCUGGCAAGAGAAUAAACAACCUGCUUACCACCCCAAGUGUAUUAACCUAUCCUAUCCCCAGUCAGAUCUGUGCGUGUGUGUGUAUGUGUAUGUGUAUGUGUAUGUGUGUAAGGUCUGUGUGACAAUUUGACCACUGUCCCCGUCUGUUUAACUGCCUAUCAAUAGCGCGCAUUGAUGGAUAGUGAAUGAACAGCAAACCUUCAAGCAUACAGUAUAUUCAAGCUCUUUAUUCAAGCAACAAACACUCACAAACAAUCUCUCCCCCUCACCAUGGCUCUGUACUGCAGACUAAAAGAGACAGGGUGGGGCUGAGGGCUUUAAAUAUGGUGUCAGGAAACACCUGCUGCCACUGAUUGGCCCAUUUUGGGCCAAGCCAUUUUCCCUUGUGUCAAAGGAGGACACUGGACAUUGACAUUGGACAUUAAUGAGCGACAAGCCGAAAUGCACUAGUGAAAAUCACUGAUCUACAAGAAUAAAUUAACUUUAACAUGCAUGCUGUAUUUGAGUUUAUUCAUGGUUGAUUUGCAAAAUGCCACAGUAUUAUAAUCCCCCUGUUGAUUGGGCCUGUCUAGUGGGAGGGGCCAUGGGGUAUAAAAGGGGUGAGCUGCUGUUCUUCUGAUAGUCUGUUGUAUGCUGUUGCCAGAACAGGUUGUCUGUGUUGAGCAGGGUGCUCAGCUCUCCACGAGAUGCUAAAUAUCUACUGAGGUUAAAGACUUUUUGAAGUAAAGAGGAGCAUCUCAUCUGAACCUGAUGUCUAUCAUGGAUAUUUAACUGCAGUUCUGUGAGUAUCCCAACUUAACCAUCAAGAUGAACUGCAAACUGUAAGUCAUAAGUUUCUCAUUAAUCUUGGGCACAUUGAUGUAUUUUGGCUUCCUGGUGAGUUAACCCGUUACCUGAAGGUUGAUCUGAGUGGUAAGGAUGUUUUAUUGGUUCAUGGGUUACUUGGGUGUUUGGUUUAUGUUGGUUUUAAUGAUUUGUUAAAAUGGUUACAGGCUCCCAAGUUAUCGUUGUAAGCUGGAGUAAUGGGUUGGGUUCUGAUAUCUUCAGUCUUCUUUCCAGCUACUCUCCUGAGCUCUGCAUCUUCAUCACAUGAGUGUUGCUCUACUGAUUAGGCUGUGGUCUGAGUGAGCAGAGGUGCAUACUGGGAUACAGAGCUGUUUGAAGUCUACAGGUCUGUAGACACGCCCCCUCAGGGGAAACCGAGUGUUUGAGAAACCGUUGUGAUGUCAGUUACAUGGACUGGAAUGUUCUUUAAGAUGGAGACAGGGAUUCAGAAGGAGAAACGCCAGGGGGAGAUGAGGGGGCUCCUCAUCUCAACGACUAAAACACAACUUCAGUCUGACACAGAGAACCAUGGAACACAUUCAACAGUCCCCUCCAGCCAUCGUGACUCCUCAGGAACAGUUUCAUUUCCAAGAAGGUCUUAUUUGGGGCCAUCCCCAUAUGGAUCCUGCUCCUCAAGAGCCACCCCCCUCCACUGGGUGGUCUUCUGAACAGAUGACCUUCCUGUCCUCAGGCUGACUAAAGCUGCACCGUUUGCAUCUGUGAAGGCCCCUCAUUCAGGAAACCACUGGACUACAAAGACACGACUUCAGAGACGUUGAAUCACCUUGGGACACAUUUUGGAGACGCCAAGCAUAAUCCAUCACCAAUGUGGGACGCCACUGAAAAAUGUUGCACGUAAUUUACUUCUCUGGAGACAUUGGUUGUUCUCUUCUGGGUGCCCUGGCAGGAGAGCUGGGGUUGGAGUGUGUGUGUGUGUGUGUGUGUGUGUGUGUGUGUGUCAUCGCUAGGGUUCUACUGUGUGUGUGUGUCUCCCACCUGGUAUGGGAUUCUAUGUGUGUGUGUCCGCCUUGCUUUGACAGUAAUAAUGUUCAUACGGGGGUCUGUGUGAUUGGCUUGGGAUAUUGGAAUGGUCAAUUAAAUCAUACCUGAUGGACGGCCACACGUUUACUUAAGGGCCUCCAGUAGACAUAAAGAGCCCAGAGCGACGCUCCGGAGCGUGAUCCAACACACUGGGCAGGAAGGAGGGUAACCAACUCAAGUGUAAAAGGAUGCAAGCGGCGUGUUCAGAUCAGUGACUUCAAACUAGGACCAAUCAGGAUCAAUGGAGGAUGGACACCAAAAGGAAUUCCCAAUCAGGAUCAAUGGAGGAUGGACACCAAAAGGAAUUCCCAAAGGAGAGUCUGACGAAAGGGACCUAAAUGGAUAUUCAAGAUAACCUUCAGACCUGUAAUGAGACGGCUCUUCCUACCUGGCUGGAUUGAUGGAGAGCCCUGUGGAUCUUGUCUUGCUCUCAGUUGCACGUCUUCUCAGGCUGAACUGUAUUCGUUUCGGACAGGACUAGCUGAACGAUUGGUUCCCUUAAAUCAGAACCAAUCUGGGAACUCCAACUAGUGCGCUCUUCGAGCUGAGGAGGUAAGGAAACCUUCCCUGGGGUUUCAAGGUGUAAAGAGGAGGAUGUUUCAAAGUGUUCCAUGGUACUCUGAUGAGGACCGUUGUUGUGUUCCACUGGCUGGGAGGAAGAACCCUCACAUCUUCCUCUUGGCCUUUCUCCUCUGAGUAUCCUGGCGCCAUCUUGAAGGAUAUUCCAGCUCAUGCAACUGAUGUCACGACAGAUUCUCAAACACUUGGUUUCUCCUGAGGGGCGUGUCUAUAGAACUGAAGACUUGAGACAGCACUGUAUCCCAGCAUGCAUCUCUGCUCACUCAGACCACACCCCCAUGAGUAGGAUGCAACAUUCUAGGGAUGGAGAUGUAGAGUUUUAUAAGUAACGAGGGAGCAGACAAAGGUGUUUAGAACACAAUGGCAUGUCAAGUCUGUAAAUCUCUAAACCAUGAAGAUGAUUGGAUAGUUCAGUAAUUGGGCUUCUAUUUAUUAUGAGCAGUCCUUUCGCUCAGAUGCCCACUUCUCACUAGACCUGUACAUGUGUUGGCUGGCUGGCAUGAUUUGCUGUUGGUGAUGAGGCGGUCAAGGUGACGUUGCAGGGCUUAUGGUUGGCUCUCUGUGAGCUAAACGUUUAGAUUUGCUCUGUAUGGUUUGUACCCUGAAUAAUCUAUAUAAGUGUAAAAUGUAGACGCGGUUUUGUAUUGAAUGAUUCCAUUGUUCUUAGGCAAGGAUUUGAGGUUUAAAGUUGUUGUGGGACGUACAUGGUAGUUUGGUUCUUUGUAUGGUUUUGAGUGAUAUAGCUUGUACACACUGGGUGCAUAAUAAUGUAAAGGUACCAACAGCAACAAACAGAUCUCCUCAAGGUAAGUCUGUUGGCUGUGUUUUAAUGUAGACCAUCGCUGGACUUCAGGAUCUUCCUCCGUUCAGCUCAAGGUGAGGCGCUGGUUAUGUUUUUUCUUUGGUUGGUUCCGGCCGGAAUGUUCGGAUUCCGGUCGGACGGUUUGUGCUUCCCGCCGUGGAGGUUUCUGAGUGUGGUCACUUUAUUUAGUCCCAAUGGUUAGCAUAGAACGUUGUAGUCUUGAUAAACAUUAGAGGCCACCUGGCAGUUAGUUGGAGCGGAGUCCCCUGAGGGAAUCUGGCAGAACGUUCUGGAUUGUAUUUGCGCAACCUCGAGCCGCUGCCAACGGAAACAAUUUUUCAGUCGGUUUCCAUUGGGAAUUGUUGCCCCUUAUCUUAAACAACUUAAGUUUGAUAUUAAAUAAUAAUAAAUAAUACAUUUAAUUUAAAGGGCGCCUUUCAAGACACCCAAGGUCACCUUACAGAGCAUAAAGUUAUCAUAAAUCGUUUAAAAACAAGACAUUGUGGAAAAAUAAUAAUAAUAGAUAGAUAAAUAAAACAAAAACAAGACAAAACAAACAAUCAAGACAGUGAUCAGUUAGACGUAAAUACAUACUGAUACGUACGUCGUACAAUAUCUUGAUAAUUUUCGAUGGUUGCGCCGUACUUCUAACCACGUUGACGGGACUCGCGCUGCGUACGAAACGGCCUUCUACUUGCGGGCCCAUUUUUGACAUCGGUGAAGGCUGUAAAUCAUUUCAAGCUGGAAGACAUUUUGACAGUUCUUCAACGGAACCCAACACCUGAAUAUGGCUGAGUAAAUUUGAUUUAAUAUCGAUACUGCUUAGUGUUUGUUACUUCAGCUUUUGUACGUUCUAAAUAUCUGCGGCCAUUAAUUGCCACAGAAGUUAAACCCUACCCAAUGGAAUGACGUUAAACAACGACUUUGUUGCAGAGUUACCAACUGGAUAAUAUCAAAGCUAAAAUAAUGGCCGUUCUUCUCACAUGUUACAGUAGAAGAUUAUCCAGAACUGUACAAGGUUAAAAAGGUAAAAAGUUUGUCCCAAGGUGUCUGCCUCCUCACCCAGAGCCAGACCUCCACCUCCUCACCCAGAGCCAGACCUCCACCUCCUCACCCAGAGCCAGACCUCCACCUCCUCAGCCAGAGCCAGACCUCCACCUCCUCAGCCAGAGCCAGACCUCCACCUCCUGUCAGAAGUCGUCCUGAACAGGCGAGGCUGAGAGGCUGGGGACCGGAGGCUUGUGGUGCCAGGGUGGACCGGAGACUGAGGCAGGAGACCAGGGGCCUGCAGCACCGGACCAGAGGACCAGGAAUCCAUGUCUGGAGGAGCUGAUGGAGGAGCUGAAGGAGGAGCCGUGCUGGUGGAGCUGAUGGAGGAGCCCUGCUGAAGGCCCUGCCUGGUGGAGCAGCUGGUGGAGGCCCUGCCUGGUGAAGGACAUCUCUGUCGUGGGGUAGAUGGAGCUUGACUCUGAAGUGAUCAUCACACUCACUGCCACUUCUCGUAGAACACUGCUACCACAAACUACCGGCGUUUGUACCAUAUAUACCAGACAACUACAUCUGUUUUACCACAUGUUGAAGCAAGACUUUCGCUGUUUGUUCCAGACCAGGACUCUAUCUGAGGAGAGCUGCUGGAGGAGCUGAGACGCUGGAGGACGACUAGGAAUCGACCAACAAGGAUUCCUCAACGUGUUUCUGGAGCGGAGGUGAGCUGGUAGGGGAGCCGUGAAUCUGGAGGAUGACCAUCAUUCUACCAACAAGGAUUGGAAGUUUGUAUUAACCUAACAAAGUGGAAAUAAAGGGAUUUAAAAUAAGACAAACUACAUAUUUGUUUCCAGACGUUGGGGCCGGACUUGCGCUGUUUGUUCCAGACCUGGACUCUGGCUGAGGAGAGCUGAUGGAGGAGCCAAGACUCUGGAGGACGACAUCACUCCACCAACAAGGAUCCUCACCAGGAAUCUGGAGGACUGAUGGAGAAGCCGUACAUCUGGAAGUCAAAUCCUGAGGACAACCAGGGCUCUACCAUCAAGGAUUCCUCACACACCUGAGCUGAACCCCAACUGAACCUGACAUCCUGCUGGUCCCGUCUCCUCAGUUCAUCUGCGCCUCGUCCUCCAGAAGACCUGCUGAGCUCAGCAGUCUGAGGCUGAUGUAUCAAUGACCUCCAGUGGGAGUGAUCUUCUUGACCCCACAUGUAACCGACUCUUUCUGAGGAGAGCUGCUGGAGGAGCUUAGACGCUGGAGGACGACUAGGAAUCGACCAACAAGGAUUCCUCAACGUGUUUCUGGAGCGGAGGCGAGCUGGUAGGGGAGCCGUGAAUCUGGAGGAUGACCAUCACUCUACCAACAAGGAUUACGUUGGGGCCGGACUUGCUCUGUUUGUUCCAGACCAGGACUCUGCCUGUGGAUAGCUGAUGAAGGAGCAAAGACUCUGGAGGACGACAUCACUCUACCAACCAGGAUCCUCACUCUGGAAUCUGGAGGACUGAUGGUGAAGCCGUACAUCUGGAAGGCAAAUUCUGAGGACAACCAGGACUCUACCAUCAAGGAUUCCUCAUAAGUUUGCAUUAUCUGGACAUAGUGGACUAGACACACCUGAGCUGAACCUCACCUGAUCUUGUUUGGUCGGGGGAAGACACACCUGAGCUGAACCCGCCCUGAUCCUGACAUCCUGCUGGUCCCGUCUCCUCAGUUCAUCUGAGCCUCUUCCUCCAGAAGACCUGCUGAGCUCAGCAGUCUGAGGCUGAUGGAUCAAUGACCUCCAGUGGGAGUGAUCUUCUUGACCCCACAUGUAACGUGUGCUUCCACACGCCUUUCCCUCACGUCUGUCACUAACCUCACUACUUCACUACUCUCUACUACUUCCUCUUUUCUUCCUUCUCUGUGGCUCAAACCUUUACACUGAAGGCGCGCCUUCCUGCCCUCAGAGGGUUCAACUUUAGGGGUUGAGAGUCAGGGUUUAGAGUCAGGGACAGAGCUGGUCAGGGAGGACUGCUUUUACACAAACCUCUUCACUUGCUUUCGGAAUGGUGGUGACAUUUUGAAAAGCCUCAUUUGGGAAAAUGUUUUCCUCUACUUUCCUUUACAAAAGUGUACUCAACUAUUGUCAUGUGUUUUUGUUUAUAUAUUAAAAUCCCACAUUGACUUCUA